Molecule: long non-coding RNA, 921 nt
Filed under: Actinidia chinensis (golden kiwifruit)
Lineage: Eukaryota; Viridiplantae; Streptophyta; Magnoliopsida; Ericales; Actinidiaceae
Description: long non-coding RNA (ACHI_LNC000845)
Source: RNAcentral
CCGAAUUGAAUGUUGAAACCACACAUAAAUCAGUAUAUUUAACAUAAUACCCAAUACUUUAAUCUGCUUUAGACUAUGACAGCUCAAAUUAAUGCACAGAUUAUUCACACAGGAUGAAAGCCCACAUGAAUGAUACAGAAUAUAUUGCACUAAUUUUGAAUCUGCAAACGGUGCAAAUUAAAUUAGAUAGCAGAAAUAGAAAUCAUCCGGGAAUAAGGAAUCUCGUUAAAGUCAUCCUCAUAAGGUUUGCAAAGAAAUAAAGGAACAUAAAUAACUGAAAAUUUCCACUUUUGUCUGGGCUAGCACGCACCAACAUGUCCGCACACUUGCUUUCUCUCUGUAGACAUGUUUAAUUGUAUCUAUUCGCAAUCUUGAAUUAGGUUGUUAAGCUGGAUAAUUGCCCGUGCGUCCGCCUCCACUUCAAUGGGGAUCAAAAGCAUAGAGUCAUAGACCAUGCCAUGAUCCAUGAUGAGACCCUCUCUGAGGGCUGUAAGCUCAGUUUCCAUACUACUGACUUGGCCAAUUGUUCGAUGAAAUCCUGUGACACAAGUUCCAUUGUGAACGCGGAUAAUGCUACCACCGGACUCUAUUGGGGGUUUGACUUUACUGUACCAUCCGUGUUAAGUUUAAAAAAGUUAAGUUAGGGGGGAAUUUCCAUGAUUUUUGUUAUGCGCAGAACCAAAACAAAAACCACACACUCAUACAAAGAGACACAUAUAUUUAUGUGAUUCGACAAUUUGCUUACAUCCUCGGAUUGUAGCAAUUUCAGUAUUAGAGAAAGAAAAAUAUAGAUUUACGGUUUCUCUCUAUCUCAAGCUCUCUGAUCUCUCUCUUUUCUCUCACUCUUCCCUUGGUGGUCUGGUGGUGGCAAAGCAACCGCCACCUCCCUCAUACUCUCUCUACCUUUGAUCUACAUCUUUU